UCGGCUUGACAUUGUUGAAUUUGUGAAGUCAAUUUCACCUAAGAUUCUUAAUUAUGCGGAAGUGAAUACCACAAGUUGCUCGAGGUUCUGGUUGUGGACAAACGAUUAAGGCGGUAGUACGCAUAUGAGAUUGUCUUCACUUGUGAUACCCGUUCAGGGCUUACUCAUUAGGAGU
Molecule: long non-coding RNA, 175 nt
Organism: Chenopodium quinoa (quinoa)
Lineage: Eukaryota; Viridiplantae; Streptophyta; Magnoliopsida; Caryophyllales; Amaranthaceae
Exons: 3
Source: RefSeq, a predicted model, not a curated record